This 440-nucleotide ribosomal RNA is filed under the name uncultured bacterium. RNAcentral's name for it is "bacterial SSU rRNA". It matches the Rfam family "Bacterial small subunit ribosomal RNA", at positions 338 to 795 of the family's 1533-position model. The record is from RNAcentral.
CCUANGGGUGGCAGCAGUUGGGAAUCUUGCGCAAUGGGGGAAACCCUGACGCAGCGACGCCGCGUGCGGGAUGACGGUCUUCGGAUUGUAAACCGCUUUUCUCGGGGAAGAUAAUGACGGUACCCGAGGAAUAAGCCCCGGCUAACUCCGUGCCAGCAGCCGCGGUAAGACGGAGGGGGCAAGCGUUGUCCGGAAUUACUGGGCGUAAAGCGCUCGUAGGCGGUCGCAUACGGCGGUGGUGAAAGCUCCCGGCUCAACUGGGAGAGGCCCGCCGCAACGGUGUGACUCGAGGGUGGUAGAGGCAGAUGGAAUUCCUGGUGUAGCGGUGAAAUGCGUAGAGAUCAGGAGGAACACCCAUGGCGAAGGCAGUCUGCUGGGCCACACCUGACGCUGAGGAGCGAAAGCCAGGGGAGCGAACGGGAUUAGAUACCCGGNUANUC